CGUGGAUGAUGUGGUUUAAUUCGAUGCAACGCGAAAACCUUACCUACCCUUGACAUGCUAGGAACUUGCCAGAGAUGGCUUGGUGCCCGAAAGGGAACCUAGACACAGGUGCUGCAUGGCUGUCGUCAGCUCGUGUCGUGAGAUGUUGGGUUAAGUCCCGCAACGAGCGCAACCCUUGUCAUUAAUUGCCAUCAUUCAGUUGGGCACUUUAAUGAGACUGCCGGUGACAAACCGGAGGAAGGUGGGGAUGACGUCAAGUCCUCAUGGCCCUUAUGGGUAGGGCUUCACACGUAAUACAAUGGGGUCGACAGUGGGAUGCAAAGCCGCGAGGUGGAGCCAAUCCCCAAACGGCCUCUCAGUUCGGAUAGUAGUCUGCAACUCGACUACUUGAAGUCGGAAUCGCUAGUAAUGGCGGAUCAGCAUGCCGCCGUGAAUACGUUCCCGGGUCUU
RNAcentral lists this ribosomal RNA (450 nucleotides) under uncultured Azospira sp. RNAcentral's name for it is "bacterial SSU rRNA". It matches the Rfam family "Bacterial small subunit ribosomal RNA", at positions 931 to 1382 of the family's 1533-position model. The record is from RNAcentral. Lineage: Bacteria; Pseudomonadati; Pseudomonadota; Betaproteobacteria; Rhodocyclales; Rhodocyclaceae.